Molecule: ribosomal RNA, 486 nt
Filed under: uncultured bacterium
Lineage: Bacteria
Description: partial 16S ribosomal RNA
Rfam family: Bacterial small subunit ribosomal RNA
Source: RNAcentral
AUUGAACGCUGGCGGCAUGCCUUACACAUGCAAGUCGAACGGCAGCACGGGUGCUUGCACCUGGUGGCGAGUGGCGAACGGGUGAGUAAUACAUCGGAACAUGUCCUGUAGUGGGGGAUAGCCCGGCGAAAGCCGGAUUAAUACCGCAUACGAUCUAUGGAUGAAAGCGGGGGACCUUCGGGCCUCGCGCUAUAGGGUUGGCCGAUGGCUGAUUAGCUAGUUGGUGGGGUAAAGGCCUACCAAGGCGACGAUCAGUAGCUGGUCUGAGAGGACGACCAGCCACACUGGGACUGAGACACGGCCCAGACUCCUACGGGAGGCAGCAGUGGGGAAUUUUGGACAAUGGGCGAAAGCCUGAUCCAGCAAUGCCGCGUGUGUGAAGAAGGCCUUCGGGUUGUAAAGCACUUUUGUCCGGAAAGAAAUCCUUGGACCUAAUACGGUCGGGGGAUGACGGUACCGGAAGAAUAAGCACCGGCUAACUACGUG